UUGGAAUUUUCUCUUCGCAGCAGGUCUUCGAGUCUCGUUGAGCUGAACUUGUACUCUUAGAAGCUGGUUUGGAAGGUAUUCUAACCUGAGCGGGAGUUCGACCGACCUUUGGGUCAUCCUUGGUUGGCUUUGAGAAGCCUUUAGAGACUUAAUUGGAGCAGCAUUGGGGCUUCGUUGAGCCGUUUGUGGGACUUCUUGUGGAUACUUGGAGCCUUGUAAUAG
Long non-coding RNA from Ananas comosus (pineapple), 222 nucleotides. RefSeq lists it as uncharacterized. The transcript is spliced from 3 exons. Lineage: Eukaryota; Viridiplantae; Streptophyta; Magnoliopsida; Poales; Bromeliaceae. The record is from RefSeq and is a predicted model, not a curated record.